Molecule: long non-coding RNA, 1621 nt
Filed under: Salmo salar (Atlantic salmon)
Lineage: Eukaryota; Metazoa; Chordata; Actinopteri; Salmoniformes; Salmonidae
Description: lncRNA (ENSSSAG00000117381.1)
Source: RNAcentral
GUGAGGAAUCAGCUAUUAUUCCUACUGACCAUUGUCCCACCAUCGGAGCACUCUGAUUGGCUGCAGAGCGUGAGACAGCGCAGAAGGAGGCACAUAAAUACAAUGUGGAGAUGCAGAGCUCCCUAAUGAAGACUCUCUAAGCAUCAGCUGACCCAAGACCAGCCGCAACAGAGCAGAACAGAGGAGCUACCAGAACACAAACUCUAGACCACCAUCAAGACCUACCAAGAACAACAUCUCCACUUUAUUGACGAGCUGCAAACUCAAGGCCAACAUCUGAAAAUGCCUGCCUACUUGGACAUCGCUCUUCAGAACAGCAUGAACGUGAAAGAUCAGCACAUUAGGUGUAAACUCUCUCUGCUGGAGAGGAAGUGCAGCGGUGGUGUGGAGAAACUGAAGAUAGUUAUUGGAGAACACCUCCAGAACGGGAUCCCUACAUCUCCCAUUUCUCCUAUUCUUGAGAAAACUGUGUCUUUUUUCACACCGAAGAAGGCCUUGCUGUCACCCACGGGCUAUUCCAAAUAUUCCAGGGACAUACUGCGUCUCUUUCCCACUCCAGAGGAGGACAUUGUACCACUCUGCUUUGAACAAUGAGUGGAGAGAUGCAUGGACGUGGAGGUUCCAGUUCAGAGGUCAAGGACCCUGCUGACAUUUACCGUGGCGUUGGCUUAAUGUAUUCCCUUGAGGCGCUGCUAUAGAUGUAGACUGCAUCUGAUUGGCCGACACUGGAUCGCAACUGACAGAGAGACAUAGUUAAAUGAAUAAUAAGUCCAAAAUAGGUUUUGUCUAAAAUUACAGUGAUUUUGUGAAGCUUAGUUUGUGUAUAUUUCAAUUCUGUCGAAAUGAUUUGGAAAUGCAUUUGCAUGCAUUGUUAUUAGCAGUCGUACUGCUCUAUCCUUUCUAUGAGAAAGUCAACCUUGGAUGUGUUUGGUGAUCUCUGCUACCUGGAAGAGAACAGAGCUGGUUCCUCUGAUUGUAAACACUUGUCCUCAGAGAUUGAGUUAGCGAGUGCUGGCCACUCUUGUUACAAUGUAGAAGUAUUGAAAAUGUGACCAUUGGUUCAUCCCACUUUCUUAGGGUAUGUGAGUCAAUGUCGAAUUUGAACCCUGCUGGCCUUUACACUAAGAUGAAAUGUUAUGAUUGUUAUCUUAAAACGUACUGUUUAUUUUGUUUUCAACUACUAAUGAAUGGCUUCACACAUAUAUAAAUGUGCCUAAAGUGUUUUUAAAUGUGCCUAAAGUGUUUAAUUCAAAGACAAAAUAAAUAUUUUCAUCAAACCACUUGUCUUUUCGUGUUGUAUUCAAAACACAUCUCUCCAUUGGCAAACCCCAGAGGGAUGACGGCAUUAGGUACUGUCAUGUCCUGACCAGUAAAAGGGGUUAUUUGUUAUUGUAUUUUGGUCAGGGCGUGGCAGGGGGUGUUUGUUUUGUGUGUUUCGGCGUUUUGGGGUUUAGGUUCUAUGUUCUCUAUUUCUAUGUUUAUAUCUAGUUUUCUAUUUCUAUGUUGGUUUUUGGCAAUGACCUCCAAUUAGAGGCAGCUGGUUGUCAUUGUCUCUAAUUGGAGGCCAUAUUUAGUUAUGUUUGUUUCACUUGUGUUUUGUGGGUGGUUGUUUUCCUGUAGA